Molecule: ribosomal RNA, 301 nt
Filed under: uncultured bacterium
Lineage: Bacteria
Description: partial 16S ribosomal RNA
Rfam family: Bacterial small subunit ribosomal RNA
Source: RNAcentral
CAGUAGCCGCGGUAAUACGAAGGGGGCUAGCGUCGUUCGGAAUCACUGGGCGUAAAGCGCACGUAGGCGGACACUUAAGUCAGGGGUGAAAUCCCGCAGCUCAACUGCGGAACUGCCUUUGAUACUGGGUAUCUUGAGUAUGGAAGAGGUUAGUGGAAUUGCGAGUGUAGAGGUGAAAUUCGUAGAUAUUCGCAGGAACACCAGUGGCGAAGGCGGCUAACUGGUCCAUAACUGACGCUGAGGUGCGAAAGCGUGGGGAGCAAACAGGAUUAGAUACCCCGGUAGUCCCUGUCUCUUAUAC